This 462-nucleotide ribosomal RNA is filed under the name Prevotella nigrescens. RNAcentral describes it as "bacterial SSU rRNA". It matches the Rfam family "Bacterial small subunit ribosomal RNA", at positions 28 to 476 of the family's 1533-position model. The record is from RNAcentral. Lineage: Bacteria; Pseudomonadati; Bacteroidota; Bacteroidia; Bacteroidales; Prevotellaceae.
GAUGAACGCUGGCUACAGGCUUAACACAUGCAAGUCGUGGGGAAACGGCAUUAUGUGCUUGCACAUUCUGGACGUCGACCGGCGCACGGGUGAGUAUCGCGUAUCCAACCUGCCCCUUACUUGGGGAUACCCCGUUGAAAGACGGCCUAAUACCCGAUGUGUUUCAUUGACGGCAUCCGAUAUGAAACAAAGGUUUUUCCGGUAAGGGAUGGGGAUGCGUCUGAUUAGCUUGUUGGCGGGGCAACGGCCCACCAAGGCGACGAUCAGUAGGGGUUCUGAGAGGAAGGUCCCCCACAUUGGAACUGAGACACGGUCCAAACUCCUACGGGAGGCAGCAGUGAGGAAUAUUGGUCAAUGGACGCAAGUCUGAACCAGCCAAGUAGCGUGCAGGAUGACGGCCCUAUGGGUUGUAAACUGCUUUUAUGUGGGAAUAAAUUGGCGCACGUGUGCGCCAUUGCAUGU